This 254-nucleotide ribosomal RNA is filed under the name uncultured bacterium. RNAcentral describes it as "partial 16S ribosomal RNA". It matches the Rfam family "Bacterial small subunit ribosomal RNA", at positions 524 to 776 of the family's 1533-position model. The record is from RNAcentral.
UACGUAGGGUGCAAGCGUUGUCCGGAAUUAUUGGGCGUAAAGAGCUCGUAGGCGGUUCGUCACGUCGGCUGUGAAAUCCCGAGGCUCAACCUCGGGUCUGCAGUCGAUACGGGCGGACUUGAGUACUGCAGGGGAGACUGGAAUUCCACGUGUAGCGGUGAAAUGCGUAGAGAUGUGGAGGAACACCUAGUGGCGAAGGCGACUCUUUGGCCUGUAACUAACGCUGAGGCGCGAAAGCGUGGGGAGCAAACAGG